This 495-nucleotide ribosomal RNA is filed under the name uncultured bacterium. Its description in RNAcentral is "partial 16S ribosomal RNA". It matches the Rfam family "Bacterial small subunit ribosomal RNA", at positions 28 to 507 of the family's 1533-position model. The record is from RNAcentral.
GACGAACGCUGGCGGCGUGCCUAAUACAUGCAAGUAGAACGCUGAAGGAGGAGCUUGCUUCUCCGGAUGAGUUGCGAACGGGUGAGUAACGCGUAGGUAACCUGCCUGGUAGCGGGGGAUAACUAUUGGAAACGAUAGCUAAUACCGCAUAAGAGUAGAUGUCGCAUGACAUUUGCUUAAAAGGUGCAACUGCACCACUACCAGAUGGACCUGCGUUGUAUUAGCUAGUUGGUGAGGUAACGGCUCACCAAGGCAACGAUACAUAGCCGACCUGAGAGGGUGAUCGGCCACACUGGGACUGAGACACGGCCCAGACUCCUACGGGAGGCAGCAGUAGGGAAUCUUCGGCAAUGGACGGAAGUCUGACCGAGCAACGCCGCGUGAGUGAAGAAGGUUUUCGGAUCGUAAAGCUCUGUUGUAAGAGAAGAACGAGUGUGAGAGUGGAAAGUUCACACUGUGACGGUAUCUGGCCAGAAAGGGACGGCUAACUACGUG